UCACUCAGAAGGAAACAACUGUAGACUUACAACUCUUCAUAAAUACACUCUCCAAAAUAGGUACUUGGUGCUAUCAGUUUCUACGAACUUGCUUGCAAGAUCCCUUAUGCAUAGUCAGCUUUUGUUGGGAUGGGCAGGCACUGAACUGGCUCCUAAUUCUUCAAUAACAGAAUAACAUUUGUAUUUAGGAUUGAAAGACUGAGCAGAUUUACAGUUUACCUUUCUCCACCUCCCUUUUGGGGCACUAUUAGAGAACUCAUUUAGUGUCAACUAAAGGUUCCAUCUAUUACUUGUAUUAUUUUCUCAAGGUCUUAAUUUAGAACUUUUGAAGCUAUGUCGUUGCCUGUCAUCCAACGUGUUUCUAUUAAAUCACUUAUGUUAACUCCUCCUUGGUGGUGCUAUCUCAGACUAGUUCAGAAGCCUGGAAACUGAAGUCCCGUUGUUACCAUGACAAGUUGGAUCCAACUAGGAGGUUAUCCAACUGAAUUCUAUCAAAAAUGAAAGGUAUAGAUUCUUCGUGUGAAAAAAUAAGAGUUGACAGGUUAAGUCAACAGUAUGAAUAGCAUUCAUAAGGACAGGAUAAGAAAAGGCAUAUGCUCAAUGGAGUGCUCAACAGAAGGGUGCAUGUUGAACAGCAACAGUGACCCAAACAAAACUUUGGUCCAGGUAAAGUGAAUUAUGGAAUAUGGAGCAAGUACUGUCACCGGGCAUUUGGCAUCAAAAAGAGCAAAUUUCUGAGACAAGAAGUCUCGUAGCAGCCUCGUGAGUUAGAAGAGCUAGUUUCUCUUUUCCAUGUGGUAGGAGGUUCCACCAAGGUUCAGGUUGUAGGAGCUUCUUGUGCUGCUUCAACAUAAGGUGACUGUACACUAUCCUCAUCAGAAUCACUCCCAGAAGAACUUCCUGAAUCUGUAAAUAUUAACCAUGGCAAAAGUAAAUAUACCAUCACACUUGUUAACCAGAAUGAACUAAAGAAAGAAAAAGUUAUACCACCGGAAGAAGAACCACUGCCAGAACUUGAGCCGCUAGAGCUGCUUGGAUCCUUGUCGAUCUGCACAGGAGGAAAGUUUUCACCUGGUAUUUCCUCACCAAUAUCAACAUCCUCCUCCACAACGUCCACUUUCUUGAUUUCAGGCAUUGCAUGUUCUGGUGUUGGUGCCUUCUCAGGCGACUUAUUUACAAAAAGCAACAUGGUGAUCAGCACACAUGGCACAAUAUAGAGUUACUUAACAAAUGUAUG
Molecule: long non-coding RNA, 1237 nt
Organism: Solanum verrucosum
Lineage: Eukaryota; Viridiplantae; Streptophyta; Magnoliopsida; Solanales; Solanaceae
Exons: 3
Source: RefSeq, a predicted model, not a curated record